Molecule: ribosomal RNA, 432 nt
Filed under: uncultured bacterium
Lineage: Bacteria
Description: partial 16S ribosomal RNA
Rfam family: Bacterial small subunit ribosomal RNA
Source: RNAcentral
AACGAACGCUGGCGGCAUGCCUAACACAUGCAAGUCGAACGAGACCUUCGGGUCUAGUGGCGCACGGGUGCGUAACGCGUGGGAACCUGCCCUUAGGUUCGGAAUAACUCCCCGAAAGGGGUGCUAAUACCGGAUAAUGUCUUCGGACCAAAGAUUUAUCGCCUUUGGAUGGGCCCGCGUUGGAUUAGCUAGUUGGUAGGGUAAAAGCCUACCAAGGCGACGAUCCAUAGCUGGUCUGAGAGGAUGAUCAGCCACACUGGGACUGAGACACGGCCCAGACUCCUACGGGAGGCAGCAGUGGGGAAUAUGGGACAAUGGGCGAAAGCCUGAUGCAGCAAUGCCGCGUGAGUGAUGAAGGCCGUAGGGUGGUAAAGCUCUUUUACCCGGGAUGAUAAUGACAGUACCGGGAGAAUAAGCUCCGGCUAACUCCGU